This is a non-coding RNA of Mycena leptocephala, 91 nucleotides long. The record is from the annotation of a GenBank genome assembly. NCBI's taxonomy places the organism in Eukaryota, Fungi, Basidiomycota, Agaricomycetes, Agaricales, Mycenaceae.
GCCCUGGUGGAUCAAUGUAGAUCAUCCCUGAUUCUUGACGCCAUUCCACAGAAGUUUAGGGAAGAUGGAGGUUCAAAUCCUCCUCAGGGCG